AACGAGGCCGACCUGCGGCUGAGUUACCUGCGGAGGGAUCAUUACCGAGUUAGGGUCUUUUUGGCCCGACCUCCAACCCUUUGUUUAUUAAACCAUGUUGCUUUGGCGGGCCUGCCUUUCGGGGCUGCCGGGGGCAUCACUGCCCCUGACUCGUGCCUGCCAGGGGCCUUCUUAAAUUCCGUGUUCAAUGGUGCUGUCUGAGUCCUGGUAUCAAAAUAUCAUAAAACUUUCAACAACGGA
Molecule: unclassified non-coding RNA, 240 nt
Filed under: soil metagenome
Description: partial contains 5.8S ribosomal RNA, internal transcribed spacer 2, and large subunit ribosomal RNA
Source: RNAcentral